RNAcentral lists this ribosomal RNA (386 nucleotides) under uncultured bacterium. RNAcentral's name for it is "bacterial SSU rRNA". It matches the Rfam family "Bacterial small subunit ribosomal RNA", at positions 28 to 419 of the family's 1533-position model. The record is from RNAcentral.
GACGAACGCUGGCGGCGUGCUUAACACAUGCAAGUCGAGCGGUAAGGCCCUUCGGGUACACGAGCGGCGAACGGGUGAGUAACACGUGGGUGACCUGCCUCUAGCUCUGGGAUAAGCCUGGGAAACUGGGUCUAAUACCGGAUAUGACUCCACGGCGCAUGUUGUGGGGUGGAAAGCCUUGUGUGGCUAGAGAUGGGCCCGCGGCCUAUCAGCUUGUUGGUGGGGGAUGGCCUACCAAGGCGACGACGGGUAGCCGGCCUGAGAGGGCGACCGGCCACACUGGGACUGAGACACGGCCCAGACUCCUACGGGAGGCAGCAGUGGAGAAUCUUGCGCAAUGGGCGAAAGCCUGACGCAGCGACACCGCGUGAGGGAUGACGGCCUGG